Non-coding RNA from Eublepharis macularius, 72 nucleotides. The record is from the annotation of a RefSeq genome assembly. NCBI's taxonomy places the organism in Eukaryota, Metazoa, Chordata, Lepidosauria, Squamata, Eublepharidae.
GGGGCUGUAGCUCAGAGGUAGAGCAUCUGGUUUGUGUGCAGAAGGUCCCAGGUUCAAUUCCUGGCAUCUUCA